GCCCAGGGUUCCAAGGAGCUCACCACAGCCCUGGUCAACCAGUGGCCCUCCCUGAGCACACUCAGUAGACCGGAGGGUGCCAGCAACUCCAAGCUAUUUCGGAGACACAGCUUCAUGAGUACGGAGCCCCUGUCUGCAGAGGCCAGCCUGAGCUCAGACUCCCAGCGCCUGGGGAAGGACCCCACGCCCUCCAUGCUGGGCCUCUGCGGCUCCCUGGCCUCCAUCCCCAGCUGCAAGUCCCUGGCGAGCUUCAAAUCCAACGAAUGCCUGGUGAGCGACAGCCCUGAGGGCAGCCCAGCACUCAGCCCCAGCUGAGGAGCAGCAAGGGCAAUGCCAGCCCCACCUGCCAGGGGCCAUGGACAACUGCCACCUUUUGAGUCCCCCACCCCAGGCCACCCUUCAAG
This 404-nucleotide long non-coding RNA is filed under the name Rattus norvegicus (Norway rat). RNAcentral's name for it is "long non-coding RNA NONRATT004934". Lineage: Eukaryota; Metazoa; Chordata; Mammalia; Rodentia; Muridae. The record is from RNAcentral.